CGUAGGGUCCGAGCGCUGUCCGGAAUUAUUGGGCGUAAAGGGCUCGUAGGCGGUUAGUCACGUCGGGAGUGAAAACUCAGGGCUCAACCCUGAGCGUGCUUCCGAUACGGGCUGACUAGAGGUAUGCAGGGGAGAACGGAAUUCCUGGUGUAGCGGUGGAAUGCGCAGAUAUCAGGAGGAACACCGGUGGCGAAGGCGGUUCUCUGGGCAUUACCUGACGCUGAGGAGCGAAAGCAUGGGGAGCGAACAGGAUUAGAUACCCUGGUAGUCCAUGCCGUAAACGUUGGGCGCUAGGUGUGGGGACCUUCCACGGUCUCCGUGCCGCAGCUAACGCAUUAAGCGCCCCGCCUGGGGAGUACGGCCGCAAGGCUA
RNAcentral lists this ribosomal RNA (372 nucleotides) under uncultured organism. Its description in RNAcentral is "bacterial SSU rRNA". It matches the Rfam family "Bacterial small subunit ribosomal RNA", at positions 526 to 896 of the family's 1533-position model. The record is from RNAcentral.